Molecule: ribosomal RNA, 200 nt
Filed under: Bacillus sp. ISL-57
Lineage: Bacteria; Bacillati; Bacillota; Bacilli; Caryophanales; Bacillaceae
Description: partial 16S ribosomal RNA
Rfam family: Bacterial small subunit ribosomal RNA
Source: RNAcentral
UCUUCGGAGAGUUUGAUCCUGGCUCAGGACGAACGCUGGCGGCGUGCCUAAUACAUGCAAGUCGAGCGAAUCUCAGGGAGCUUGCUCCCUGAGAUUAGCGGCGGACGGGUGAGUAACACGUGGGCAACCUGCCUAUAAGACUGGGAUAACUUCGGGAAACCGGAGCUAAUACCGGAUACGUUCUUUUCUCGCAUGAGAGA